GUCUUUUUGAAUAUAAUUUAAAGUUUAAUCUGCCCACUGAUAAAUAUUAAAGGGCUGCAGUAUCAUGACUGUACAAAGGUAGCAUAAUCAUUAGUUUUUUAAUUGAAAACUUGUAUGAAGGAUUUGAUGAAAUAUAAGCUGUCUCUAAUUUAUUUAUAGAAAUUUAUUUUUUAGUUAAAAAGCUAAAAUAAUUUUAAAAGACGAGAAGACCCUAUAGAGUUUUAUAUUUAUUUUUAUUAAAAAAUUAUAUAAAAAUUAAUAUUGAAAUAAAAUGAAGUAUUAUGUUGGGGUGAUAGAAAAAUUAAAUUAACUUUUUUUAAAAAUUAAACAUAAAUAUAUGAUUAAAUGAUCCAUUAAUAAUGAUUAUAAGAAAAAAUUACCUUAGGGAUAACAGCGUAAUAUUUUUUUUUAGUUCAUAUAAAAAAAAAAGUUUGCGACCUCGAUGUUGGAUUAAGAUAAAAUUUAAAUGCAAAAGUUUAAAAUUUUGAUCUGUUCGAUCAUUAAAAUCUU
Molecule: ribosomal RNA, 510 nt
Filed under: Maniola hyperantus (ringlet)
Lineage: Eukaryota; Metazoa; Arthropoda; Insecta; Lepidoptera; Nymphalidae
Description: partial 16S ribosomal RNA
Source: RNAcentral